RNAcentral lists this long non-coding RNA (2723 nucleotides) under Vitis vinifera (wine grape). Its description in RNAcentral is "long non-coding RNA (VVIN_LNC004048)". Lineage: Eukaryota; Viridiplantae; Streptophyta; Magnoliopsida; Vitales; Vitaceae. The record is from RNAcentral.
GCCUGAGGCUGAUAGUUUCAGUGAUGAAGGGUAUGGUCCACCACCAACCAAAUGGCAGGGCACUUGUCAAACCUCAUCCAAUUUCACCUGCAACAAGUAAAUGAUCCUUUUUUCUUCUUCUUUAUAAUUUCAUCUGCACACAUACACUAAUGAGAUAUACAGAGAGACCCCAAUGCUGCUUAACAAAAAAUUUAACGCUAUGCAGUAAAAUCAUUGGAGCUAGAUACUACAGGAGUGAUGGAAAUGUACCCCCAGAAGAUUUUGCAUCACCAAGAGAUACAGAAGGCCAUGGGACACAUACUGCAUCCACAGCAGCUGGAAACGUAGUUAGUGGGGCAAGCUUACUGGGCCUUGGCGCAGGAACAGCUCGAGGAGGGACUCCUUCAGCCCGCAUUGCAGUGUAUAAGAUAUGUUGGGCAGAUGGUUGUUAUGAUGCAGAUAUCCUUGCAGCAUUUGAUGAUGCAAUUGCGGAUGGAGUUAAUAUUAUCUCUCUUUCAGUUGGGGGAUCCUUUCCUCUGGAUUACUUUGAAGAUUCAAUUGCGAUUGGAGCCUUCCAUUCCAUGAAGAAUGGGAUACUCACAUCUAAUGCUGGUGGUAAUUCGGGUCCAGAUCCUGGUUCAAUUACAAAUUUCUCGCCUUGGUCUCUCUCAGUUGCUGCUAGCGUCAUUGACAGAAAGUUUCUGACCGCGUUGCACUUAGGAAACAACCUGACUUAUGAGGUGAGAUAGGCAUUGACCACAAUAUCUACUGAAGGGAUCCCACAUCUGAGAUAGGCAUUGACCAUAAUUGUCUUUUCCCAAAUUAUCUUGACCUCUUGUUUACAUGUAGGGAGAACUCUCUCUAAAUACUUUCGAGAUGAAUGGUAUGGUCCCUCUCAUUUAUGGCGGGGAUGCGCCAAACACGUCAGCAGGAUCUGAUGCAUCUUAUUCCAGGUGAAAAUGUGAAAUCUGUAGUGGUAUUCAUUGACGUUUAUGGAAGCCCAUUUAAAUAAAGCUUCAGUAAAGUAUAGAAGUAUUUGAAGAAUGAAAAUGCACAAAUUUUAUCAUGAAAUGUAGGUACUGCUACGAGGGCACCUUGAACACGUCUCUGGUAACGGGUAAAAUUGUAUUCUGUGACCAGUUGAGUGAUGGGGUGGGAGCAAUGAGUGCUGGAGCAGUAGGUACUGUAAUGCCAAGUGAUGGCUACACAGAUUUGUCCUUAGCUUUCCCCUUACCUACAUCCUGCUUGGACUCCAACUAUACUACCAACGUUCAUGAGUACAUCAACUCAACUAGGUACUUUUCAAAUUCAUAUUCUCCAAUUAAUUUGAUUAUCAUUCUUGGUGAGCCUAUGGAUAACGUAUAGAUCAUACUAAUUUUCUUGCACUUCUUCCUUUGUAAACAGCACACCAACCGCAAAUAUACAGAAGAGCACCGAGGCUAAAAAUGAAUUGGCACCGUUUGUAGUUUGGUUUUCGUCGAGGGGCCCAAACCCUAUUACCCGUGACAUUCUCAGUGUAACUCAGCUAUUCAAUUUCCUCCGGAUCUUUCCUUUGUGUACCCACUUCUUUCUUAAUUAAGUGCAACGUCUUCUAACUGUGCAGCCUGACAUCGCCGCGCCAGGAGUUAAUAUUCUAGCAGCAUGGACAGAAGCUUCAAGUUUGACAGGAGUUCCAGGGGAUACAAGAGUAGUUCCAUACAAUAUCAUUUCAGGGACGUCCAUGGCUUGUCCACAUGCUUCCGGGGCUGCUGCCUACGUUAAAUCAUUUAACCCAACAUGGUCUCCUGCUGCUAUCAAGUCUGCCUUAAUGACAACUGGUAAGGGCUUCAUCCAUAAUCUGUGGGCAUUUUUGAAACUAAAAUUUUUUAGGCAGAGUAUCUUGUUCAAGUACUCUUUUUGAAAGCUGCUUUUGUGGACAGACAAGUUGAAGUAUUAAAAGAACCCGUAUCUGUAACUAAUGCCCAUGUUUCCAUUGCCAUUGGCAGCUUCACCCUUGAGUGCUGAAACCAACACCGACCUGGAGUUUUCUUAUGGGGCUGGUCAGUUGAAUCCCCUACAGGCUGCAAAUCCUGGUUUGGUGUAUGAUGCUGGGGAGGCAGAUUACAUCAAGUUCUUGUGUGGACAAGGCUAUAACACUACAAAGUUGCACCUUGUCACGGGAGAAAACAUCACUUGUUCUGCUGCCACAAAUGGAACUGUUUGGGAUUUAAACUACCCUUCUUUUGCUAUAUCCACUGAGCAUGAGGCAGGAGUUAAUCGCACCUUCACUAGAACUGUCACAAACGUCGGAUCACCAGUCUCAACUUACAAGGCAAUUGUGGUUGGCCCUCCAGAGUUCAGUAUCAAAGUUGAACCAGGUGUACUUUCAUUCAAAUCCCUUGGGGAGACGCAAACCUUCACCGUCACUGUUGGUGUGGCAGCACUAAGUAACCCUGUAAUAUCAGGCUCUUUGGUGUGGGAUGAUGGGGUUUACAAAGUGAGGAGCCCCAUAGUUGCUUAUGUUUUUUAGUCAAAUAUCUAGUUUCAUACAUCUUAGUUGGUUCUUAUUUAAUUGAAUAAACAGAAGAGAUGUGGUAUGUAUUGUAAUAAAAUCCAACGCAAUUCUAUUUGCUCUAUAGGAGAAAUGCUUUGAGAUACAUGGCAUAUGCUCCUAUAGUUUCAUAAAUUGUCAUCAGGAGGCUCCUAAUUGCUACUCUGAAAUUAUUCUGAUUUGUUUCUACUAUAAUUGUCCAGAAUGCAAUGAG